AGAAUAGUAGAAAACAAAUAUGGAAAAUGAAAUUAGCAAACACCAUUAAAAAGAUAACUGAUAAUUUCAUCAAAGAGUCGAUAUAAACAAGUUCGACAACACUUGUAAAGAAAACAAAACCAGACAAAGAUAGUUCAAUACUAUCACAAACGAAAGAUAGUUCACUGCUAUCACAAACGAAAGAUAGUUCACUGCUAUCACAAACGAAAGACAUAAGACGGUGCAUAAUGCUCCAAGGAAAAUUAACAUAUAUAAGAACAGAAUAACAAACUGACUAAUACAACCAGGUACUGACACGGCCUUUCGAAGAAUCUCUUCUCCCAUCAGCAACUCGUACAGCCAC
This 343-nucleotide long non-coding RNA is filed under the name Erythranthe guttata (spotted monkey flower). Its description in RNAcentral is "long non-coding RNA (EGUT_LNC003224)". Lineage: Eukaryota; Viridiplantae; Streptophyta; Magnoliopsida; Lamiales; Phrymaceae. The record is from RNAcentral.